CCUACGGGUGGCAGCAGUGAGGAAUAUUGGUCAAUGGGCGGGAGCCUGAACCAGCCAAGCCGCGUGAGGGAAGAAGGUACAGCGUAUCGUAAACCUCUUUUGUCAGGGAACAAAGGCGGGUACUAGUCCCCGGAUGAGGGUAUCUGAAGAAAAAGCAUCGGCUAACUCCGUGCCAGCAGCCGCGGUAAUACGGAGGAUGCGAGCGUUAUCCGGAUUUAUUGGGUUUAAAGGGUGCGUAGGCGGGCCGAUAAGUCAGCGGUAAAAUCCCGGGGCUCAACCUCGGCACCGCCGUUGAAACGGGCAGUCUAGAGUUGGAGAGAAGUAUGCGGAAUGCGCGGUGUAGCGGUGAAAUGCAUAGAUAUCGCGCAGAACUCCGAUUGCGAAGGCAGCAUGCCGGCUCCACACUGACGCUGAGGCACGAAAGCGUGGGUAUCGAACAGGAUUAGAUACCCCAGUAGUC
Molecule: ribosomal RNA, 460 nt
Filed under: uncultured bacterium
Lineage: Bacteria
Description: partial 16S ribosomal RNA
Rfam family: Bacterial small subunit ribosomal RNA
Source: RNAcentral